GGAAAACUGGCNGUGUGAAUUGCAGAAUCCCGUGAACAUUCGAGUCUUUUGAACGCAAGUUGCGCCCGAGGCGAUUACGCUGAGAGGUAUGUUCUGCCUGGGUGUCACGACCGUGUUUGUCAUUAAUCCUCGGUGCACAACCGCAUGUGUGUGUGUUGGGGCGUGGCUGAGAAUGGCCUCCCGUGGUUUCCGCGGUUGGCCCAAAUCCAAAAACCCCGGUGCAUGGCGUUGUUGGCAAUGUUGGUGGUGGUUGGUUGCAACUCAUCGCUGUCGCAAUGUUGGGCAUGGGUCAAGUAGUGGAAUGGGUCUGAUGGCAAUGGGUAUUCCCCGAGCCCUCGACCGCGACCCCAGGUCAGGCGGGAUCACCCGCUGAGUUUAAUCAUAUCAUAAGCGAGAGGAAGAA
RNAcentral lists this ribosomal RNA (403 nucleotides) under Utricularia striatula. Its description in RNAcentral is "eukaryotic LSU rRNA". The record is from RNAcentral. Lineage: Eukaryota; Viridiplantae; Streptophyta; Magnoliopsida; Lamiales; Lentibulariaceae.